RNAcentral lists this non-coding RNA (130 nucleotides) under Rhizobium sp. RU36D. Its description in RNAcentral is "Brucella sRNA CI27". It matches the Rfam family "Brucella sRNA CI27". Lineage: Bacteria; Pseudomonadati; Pseudomonadota; Alphaproteobacteria; Hyphomicrobiales; Rhizobiaceae. The record is from Rfam by way of RNAcentral.
AGGGGCGCUAAAGUAUGUCUCCCAAAAGUGGGCACCGGUUUUGGGACAAAGACAUGCGAAAGCAAAAAUCUACAGCAGGCCGCAUGAAUCCGAAACAACGCGACCUGCUGUAGGUGCGCUGCUUUUAAGA